UACGUAGGUGGCAAGCUUUGUUCGGAAUUACUGGGCGUAAAGCGCGCGUAGGCGGCUUUGUAAGUUAGAGGUGAAAGCCCGGAGCUCAACUCCGGAAUUGCCUUUAAGACUGCAUCGCUAGAACGUCGGAGAGGUGAGUGGAAUUCCGAGUGUAGAGGUGAAAUUCGUAGAUAUUCGGAAGAACACCAGUGGCGAAGGCGACUCACUGGACGACUGUUGACGCUGAGGUGCGAAAGCGUGGGGAGCAAACAGG
Molecule: ribosomal RNA, 253 nt
Filed under: uncultured bacterium
Lineage: Bacteria
Description: partial 16S ribosomal RNA
Rfam family: Bacterial small subunit ribosomal RNA
Source: RNAcentral